CAUGGAGGAGGAGUAAGAUGAUGGCGAGAUGGUGUGGUCAUGAGAUCGGAGGGGAGGAGGACACAGGAAGCGGAUAUUGGCAUGGAGAAUGAAUGGAUAGAUGGCGUGCAGAGAGAACAGCAGGGUGGGAGGUGCAACUUGGCCACAGAGCGGGGGCGAAAUGCAUCGCUGUGUGACAUUUUUAACCCUUGGUGUUUCAGUAAUUAGCUGAAAAAAACAUACAACACUGUCCUUACCUUGCUGACCACUCAGUGCAGCUAACAUCAUGUAUGCAGCCCUGUCAGCUACUAGAGGUGGGACUGACUGAAAGAAUGGCGUAGCACAGUGCUCCAUUGGCAUCUUCUUGUAACGCAGCUUCCUCAGGUCCCUGCGGCUCAACUUGCCAUCUUUGUUCUUGUCCAGUUCUGUAAAUCUUUGCUAAAGAAACAGAGGAAAUAAAUAUCAAGAGAAAACUGUU
Molecule: long non-coding RNA, 457 nt
Organism: Micropterus dolomieu (smallmouth bass)
Lineage: Eukaryota; Metazoa; Chordata; Actinopteri; Centrarchiformes; Centrarchidae
Exons: 2
Source: RefSeq, a predicted model, not a curated record